RNAcentral lists this ribosomal RNA (468 nucleotides) under uncultured bacterium. Its description in RNAcentral is "partial 16S ribosomal RNA". It matches the Rfam family "Bacterial small subunit ribosomal RNA", at positions 28 to 507 of the family's 1533-position model. The record is from RNAcentral.
GACGAACGCUGGCGGCGUGCUUAACACAUGCAAGUCGAACGGAAAGGCCCUGCUUUUGGGGGGUGCUCGAGUGGCGAGCGGGAGAGUAACACGUGUGUAACCUGCCCUAGACUUUGGGAUAACUUCAGGAAACUGGGGAUAAUACCUGAUAGGCGCUCCUGCUGCAGGGGGGGGGUAGGUAAGUUUCGGCGUGUGGGGACGGACUCGCGGCCUGUUUGCUGGUUGGUGGGGGAGUGGCUUACCAAGGGUUGGGCGGUUGGCCGGCCUGGGAGGUUGACCGGCAACAUUGGGACUGGGUUACGGCCCGACCUCCUACGGGAGGCAGCAGUGGGGAAUAUUGAACAAGGGGCGGAAGCCGGAUGCAGCAACGCCGCGUGCGGGAUGACGGCCUUCGGGUGGUAACCCGCUUUCGCCUGUGACGAAGCUUGAGUGACGGUAAUUAGAAAAGAAGCACCGGCUAACUACGUG